UGGGGAAUAUUGCACAAUGGGCGCAAGCCUGAUGCAGCGACGCCGCGUGAGGGAUGACGGCCUUCGGGUUGUAAACCUCUUUCAGCAGGGAAGAAGCGCAAGUGACGGUACCUGCAGAAGAAGCACCGGCUAACUACGUG
Molecule: ribosomal RNA, 140 nt
Filed under: uncultured bacterium
Lineage: Bacteria
Description: partial 16S rRNA
Rfam family: Bacterial small subunit ribosomal RNA
Source: RNAcentral